UCGAGAAUCAUUCGCAAUGGGCGAAAGCCUGACGGUGCGACGUCGCGUGGAGGAUGAAGGUCUUCGGAUUGUAAACUCCUGUCAUGUGGGAUAAAUGGCCAGGAGACGAAUAGUCUCUUGGAAUGAUAGUACCACAGGAGGAAGAGACGGCUAACUCUGUGCCAGCAGCCGCGGUAAUACAGAGGUCUCGAGCGUUGUUCGGAUUUACUGGGCGUAAAGGGAGCGUAGGCGGUUCGGUAUGUCGAAUG
RNAcentral lists this ribosomal RNA (248 nucleotides) under uncultured bacterium. RNAcentral describes it as "partial 16S ribosomal RNA". It matches the Rfam family "Bacterial small subunit ribosomal RNA", at positions 355 to 594 of the family's 1533-position model. The record is from RNAcentral.